CAGCAGCCGCGGUAAUACGUAGGCGGCAAGCGUUGUCCGGAAUUAUUGGGCGUAAAGGGAGCGCAGGUGGGACGGUAAGUCCGUCUUAAAAGGCAGGGGCUCAGCCCCUGUAAGGGAUGGAAACUAUCGAUCUUGAGUGCCGGAGAGGAAAGCGGAAUUCCCAGUGUAGCGGUGAAAUGCGUAGAUAUUGGGAAGAACACCAGUGGCGAAGGCGGCUUUCUGGACGGCAACUGACACUGAGGCUCGAAAGCCAGGGGAGCGAACGGGAUUAGAUACCCCUGUAGUCCCUGUCUCUUAUACA
Molecule: ribosomal RNA, 301 nt
Filed under: uncultured bacterium
Lineage: Bacteria
Description: partial 16S ribosomal RNA
Rfam family: Bacterial small subunit ribosomal RNA
Source: RNAcentral